Molecule: unclassified non-coding RNA, 184 nt
Filed under: uncultured fungus
Lineage: Eukaryota; Fungi
Description: sequence contains ITS1, 5.8S rRNA gene
Source: RNAcentral
UUAACUAUUGUAUAGUACUCAGACGACAUUUAUUACAGAGUUGUGGUCCUCUGGUAGGCACUAACCAGCCGAAGCCAGUGCUUGCGCGGCCCACCAAAGCAACAAAUUAAGAUAAUCAAGGGUUAGAAGGACCGGUUUCCCGGCUUCAUUUUUAAUGAUCCUUCCGCAGGUUCACCUACGGAAA